CCCCAUACACGUCCUAAUANNGNNUGGNNNCGGUAUUNGCCGCCGUGGUAAUACGGAGGGUGCAAGCGUUAUCCGGAAUCAUUGGAGUUAAAGGGUCCGUAGGCGGGGCGGUCAGUCAGUGGUGAAAUGCAGGGGCUCAACCCCGGCACCGCCAUUGAUACUGACCGUUCUUGAAUUUCCGUGAAGUGACCGGAAUAUGUGGUGUAGCGGUGAAAUGCUUAGAUAUCACAUACAACACCGAUUGCGAAGGCAGGCCACUAACGGGAGAUUGACGCUGAGGGACGAAAGCGUGGAUAGCGAACAGGAUUAGAUACCCUGGUAGUCCACGCCGUAAACGAUGGUCACUAGCUGUCGGCCUCAAUUGAGGGGUCGGCGGCCCACCGAAAGUGAUAAGUGACCCACCUGGGGAGUACGUUGGCAACAAUGAAACUCAAAGGAAUUGACGGGGGCCCGCACAAGCGGUGGAGCAUGUGGUUUAAUUCGAUGAUACGCGAGGAACCUUACCAGGGCUUAAAUGCAGGGCGACCGGGGUGGAAACACCCCUUUCUUCGGACGGCCUGCAAGGUGCUGCAUGGUUGUCGUCAGCUCGUGCCGUGAGGUGUCAGGUUAAGUCCUAUAACGAGCGCAACCCCUAUUGCUAGUUGCCAUCGAGUAAAGUCGGGGACUCUAGCGAGACUGCCGGUGCAAACCGCGAGGAAGGUGGGGAUGACGUCAAAUCAUCACCGCCCUUACGUCCUGGGCUACACACGUGCUACAAUGGCCCGGACAAUGGGAAGCCACCCCGGCGAGGGGAAGCGGAUCCCCAAACCCCGUCACAAUUUCGAUCCCCAAUCCUGCACCCU
RNAcentral lists this ribosomal RNA (842 nucleotides) under uncultured bacterium. Its description in RNAcentral is "bacterial SSU rRNA". It matches the Rfam family "Bacterial small subunit ribosomal RNA", at positions 466 to 1313 of the family's 1533-position model. The record is from RNAcentral.